GGGGCUUCCACAUCGCAGCCCAGUAGGGUGGACUGACCGGUCUUCUGACCUCUGGCUCCUUGGAGGGACUGGCCUGAGGUGGGCCCUGGCAUCCCCAGCCUCCUCUAAACCACCUCCCUGGAACAUGCGGGACAGGAGCCCAAGCGGCAUCUGAGGAGGGCGGGUUCUGCCAGGCACAGAGGGCUCCAGCGUGAUUGCCACUGGUUAAUGACCUGCCACCCCCGCCCCCCCAACCUCUGGUGCCGUCCAAGGACUCUGACCCCAGUGCAGUGUCUGUAGGGAAGAGGAGCCAUGGGGCUUCGGGCAGGCCCCAUCCUGCUUCUGCUGCUGUGGCUGCUGCCAGAAUGCGGCCACUCCAAGGAGGCCGGGAGGAUUGUGGGAGGCCAAGACACCCAGGAAGGACGCUGGCCGUGGCAGGUUGGCCUGUGGUUGACCUCAGUGGGGCAUGUAUGUGGGGGCUCCCUCAUCCACCCACGCUGGGUGCUCACAGCCGCCCACUGCUUCCUGAGGUCUGAGGAUCCCGGGCUCUACCAUGUUAAAGUCGGAGGGCUGACACCCUCACUUUCAGAGCCCCACUCGGCCUUGGUGGCUGUGAGGAGGCUCCUGGUCCACUCCUCAUACCAUGGGACCACCACCAGCGGGGACAUUGCCCUGAUGGAGCUGGACUCCCCCUUGCAGGCCUCCCAGUUCAGCCCCAUCUGCCUCCCAGGACCCCAGACCCCCCUCGCCAUUGGGACCGUGUGCUGGGGUGACUCCGGGGGGCCGCUGGUCUGCCCCAUCAAUGAUACGUGGAUCCAGGCCGGCAUUGUGAGCUGGGGAUUCGGCUGUGCCCGGCCUUUCCGGCCUGGUGUCUACACCCAGGUGCUAAGCUACACAGACUGGAUUCAGAGAACCCUGGCUGAAUCUCACUCAGGCAUGUCUGGGGCCCGCCCAGGUGCCCCAGGAUCCCACUCAGGCACCUCCAGAUCCCACCCAGUGCUGCUGCUUGAGCUGUUGACCGUAUGCUUGCUUGGGUCCCUGUGAACCAUGAGCCAUGGAGUCCGGGAUCCCCUUUCUGGUAGGAUUGAUGGAAUCUAAUAAUAAAAACUGUAGGUUUUUUAUGUGUA
Molecule: long non-coding RNA, 1106 nt
Organism: Homo sapiens (human)
Lineage: Eukaryota; Metazoa; Chordata; Mammalia; Primates; Hominidae
Gene: PRSS30P
Product: serine protease 30, pseudogene
Source: Ensembl